Molecule: ribosomal RNA, 513 nt
Filed under: Megalamphodus erythrostigmus (bleeding-heart tetra)
Lineage: Eukaryota; Metazoa; Chordata; Actinopteri; Characiformes; Acestrorhamphidae
Description: LSU rRNA
Rfam family: Bacterial large subunit ribosomal RNA
Source: RNAcentral
GGAGGUCUUGCCUGCCCAGUGACUAAGUUAAACGGCCGCGGUAUUUUGACCGUGCAAAGGUAGCGCAAUCACUUGUUUUUUAAAUGAAGACCUGUAUGAAUGGUGAAACGAGGGCUUAACUGUCUCCCCUCUCUGAUCAGUGAAAUUGAUCUACCCGUGCAGAAGCGGGUAAAAUAUACAAGACGAGAAGACCCUAUGGAGCUUAAGACACAAGGUUAACUGCGUUAAUAAGCCCUUGUUAAAGGAAAUAAACAAGGCAGUAACUGACUAGCGUCUUCGGUUGGGGCGACCGCGGGGGAAAAAAAAUCCCCACGUGGAACUAGAUAUUUUUCUAAACCACGAGGCACACCUCUAAGUCACAGAACUUCUGACCAAAAGAUCCGGUAUUCAACCGAUCAACGGACCAAGUUACCCUAGGGAUAACAGCGCAAUCCCCUCCAAGAGUCCAUAUCGACAAGGGGGUUUACGACCUCGAUGUUGGAUCAGGACAUCCUAAUGGUGCAGCCGCUAUUG